Non-coding RNA from Microcebus murinus (gray mouse lemur), 2467 nucleotides. NCBI's taxonomy places the organism in Eukaryota, Metazoa, Chordata, Mammalia, Primates, Cheirogaleidae. The record is from RefSeq and is a predicted model, not a curated record.
ACCCCGAGGUGCUCCCUCCGAACUGUCAGAGGUUGAGGGAAGUUCGGCAGCAGCUGGCGCGCGCUUCCAGCUCGGGGCCGUCCAGGUGAACCGAGGGGGAGGGAAGAGGCGGGUCCUCCGCCUAGCUCUUGCGGAAGGUCGUUCCUGCCCCCUGUCUGGCCUCGCAGGACAAUGUCCUACUGACCCGGGUAGUCUUAGCGUUUGUUUCUUGGGAGCCACUGCUGCUCACUGGGAAGCAGAGAGCCGCACGUGAGCGUUCUCCCCUUCAGGAGGCUGCACGGUAGUGCAGUCCCCGCUUCGCCAGGCAUAAGGCAAGCGAGAAGGGACGCACUUCUCCCAGCUCGCUUUGCGAGCCGGCCGUCGCCUCUGCGUUCAGCAACUGAGGCCUGCCGGGAUCUCCCGAGAGGCGGAGAGCCAGCCCGGGGCCUAGCAGCCUUUACCCGUCCGAGAACAGCAGAAUGGGGGGAAUCGGAGCCCCAUGGAAGUGCGCUCGGGCGGGGUGAGGAAGGACCUCCCUCUCUGACAGCAGCCGUACCCCGUGGAGCAGGGGACUCAGCAGCCACGAAGGACUUCUCUGGUCGCCACCUUUCCACAGGGAGUCACGAAGCUUCUGGGGGUGGGGGUUCCUGACCCUGCCUCGGGGCAGGGGCUCUGACUCUGCCAUUCAGGUUUGACGGGGCCCUCAAAGCUCCGAAGCAGCUGCCUCGUACCACCCUCUAGGUCGUGGCGCGAGGAGGUGCAGCAGGGACGCGAGACAUUCCAUAAGCACAGGGGACUGCCACAGAGCACAGUGCGGGCCCCCAGGAGCCGUGAAGGAUAAUUUGAAAGGUGCACAGGUGUCGGUGGGCCUUAAAGAUGGGUAUUGGUACAAGAAAAAAACAAUGUACAAGUCAGCCUAAAAUAGGGAAACAAGUGAGCUUUAAAGAAAAAUAUUCACUUUUGCCACCCCUGUCCAGGAAGAAGAGUGCUGAUCUGCUUUUUCCAGCCCUUGGACUGGAGACUAGAAGCUGCCUGAUCCCAGCAAAGACAGUGUCUGUACCCCUUUAGCACUCCGCCUUGCGGUUAAAUUGACAUAUAUUUCUUUGUGUCCAUGUGUGCUGAAUGGAUUUCAAAACUGUGGCCUGUGGCGACAGUAAUCUCAGAAAUUUCAGAAAGUAAAUGCCUUGUGAUAACUGGACAACAAAUCAUUUCACAAGUCAUGUGGUUUCCCAUUCAUUUCUUUCAUUAAUUUGAAGAAGGACCCAGUUAAAUUGCCAGAAGUUCAUAUGACCUGAAACAGCAAUGAAUUAGGGCAUUCACAGUCUACUAUAAGAAGCACAGUGCAUGGUCUCUGCACAGGUUGAAGUGAUUAGAGAGAAGAUGGAAAAGAAGCAAGCCACAUGAGAAACUAGAACCUGUGAACCUUUUUGACUUUGAGGUCAAGAAAUAGGUCCAGGUGUAUCAAAAGAGCUCAGCAAGUGAUUUGAGUGCAUUAUCCUGUCUUUGAUAUAAUAAUUUUGAAAAUAGAUGUAUUCUAUUCAUAAGACCUUCAAUGAAGAUGUGUAUCUGAAUUCCACACAUAAUAAAGUUGGACCAUGGUAAUUGCUGCCACCUGGUGGGAUAGUGAAAGAAAUUCAGGAUUCUAUAAUAUUACCUCCCUAAACUCUCUCAUUCAAGCAUUCAUGCAUUCAUUCGUCCUUUCAUUCCACAUUUACUAGGUGCCCAGCCCUGGCUAUACUCUGGGGACACAAGGCAAGUAAGACACAGUCUGUGUCCAUGAGGUAUGCAGUGCAGUCAUCCAGACCCAAUAUAUUGUUAAAAUAUUGUCACAGAAGAGAGUACCCUUCUUGGAUUGAGGUAAUGGAGGAACCAAAAGGUUUUCCCAAAGGAACAUAAUCCAGAGAUUCAUGGAUAGCCAGGCUGACUCCACUUAUGUGGCUUUCUGUUGUGAAAAUGGUUUCCUGGACAGGAUUUCCCUGCCCAUUUCUGCUGGUCCUUUCCCACUAGUAGGAAAGACAAAGGAAGAUGCAGUGCUGACCAGCCUCAGAACCUCAGAGGGUAUAUGGGGUAUCUUCCUUUUGCAUCUCUGGAUACACUUGCUACCCAUCUUCUUCCUGCUCUGUGCCCCAGAAGGCAAACCAGGGUGGACUGCCUCUAUCUCCUCUCUUGCACACUGACUUUCUGUUCCAUUCAGAUACUAUUGGAGGUGAGGAGGAGACCUGCAAGCAGAAGAAGAACUAGAUCACAAUAUUUAUGCUCAGACUCCCUUGCAUCCAGGAUAUCAGGGACUUACUGCAUCCCUCAAAAAAAGGUCUCAGUUCAUCCCUCCCUUUGCCCUUUCAGACACAGAUGUGGUAACAGGGCUGGCUCUCGGGGGCUACACUAAUCCUUGUGGUUUUCUGUUCACACCUUUGUACAUAAUCCCUUCUAGUCGUCUUAAUUUGAGUGUGCCACUGUUUUCUUCCUUACUGACUGAUACAUUAAUAGA